GGAUCAAACUUGCUCAGAUUGAACGCUGGCGGCAUGCCUUACACAUGCAAGUCGAACGGCAGCACGGGAGCAAUCCUGGUGGCGAGUGGCGAACGGGUGAGUAAUACAUCGGAACGUGCCCAGUUGUGGGGGAUAGCCCGGCGAAAGCCGGAUUAAUACCGCAUAAGACCUGAGGGUGAAAGCGGGGGACCGCAAGGCCUCGCGCGAUUGGAGCGGCCGAUGUCAGAUUAGGUAGUUGGUGGGGUAAAGGCCUACCAAGCCGACGAUCUGUAGCUGGUCUGAGAGGACGACCAGCCACACUGGACUGAGACACGGCCCAGACUCCUACGGGAGGCAGCAGUGGGGAAUUUUGGACAAUGGGCGCAAGCCUGAUCCAGCCAUGCCGCGUGUGGGAAGAAGGCCUUCGGGUUGUAAACCACUUUUGUCAGGGAAGAAACGGCCCGAUCUAAUACAUUGGGCUAAUGACGGUACCUGAAGAAUAAGCACCGGCUAACUACGUGCCAGCAGCCGCGGUAAUACGUAGGGUGCGAGCGUUAAUCGGAAUUACUGGGCGUAAAGCGUGCGCAGGCGGCUUUGCAAGACAGAUGUGAAAUCCCCGGGCUCAACCUGGGAACUGCAUUUGUGACUGCAAGGCUAGAGUACGGUAGAGGGGGAUGGAAUUCCGCGUGUAGCAGUGAAAUGCGUAGAUAUGCGGAGGAACACCGAUGGCGAAGGCAAUCCCCUGGACCUGUACUGACGCUCAUGCACGAAAGCGUGGGGAGCAAACAGGAUUAGAUACCCUGGUAGUCCACGCCCUAAACGAUGUCAACUGGUUGUUGGACGGCUUGCUGUUCAGUAACGAAGCUAACGCGUGAAGUUGACCGCCUGGGGAGUACGGCCGCAAGGUUGAAACUCAAAGGAAUUGACGGGGACCCGCACAAGCGGUGGAUGAUGUGGUUUAAUUCGAUGCAACGCGAAAAACCUUACCUACCCUUGACAUGUCAGGAAGUUACCAGAGAUGGUUUCGUGCUCGAAAGAGAACCUGAGCACAGGUGCUGCAUGGCCGUCGUCAGCUCGUGUCGUGAGAUGUUGGGUUAAGUCCCGCAACGAGCGCAACCCUUAUCAUUAGUUGCUACUGCAAAGGGCACUCUAAUGAGACUGCCGGUGACAAACCGGAGGAAGGUGGGGAUGACGUCAGGUCAUCAUGGCCCUUAUGGGUAGGGCUACACACGUCAUACAAUGGCCGGUACAGAGGGCUGCCAACCCGCGAGGGGGAGCUAAUCUCAGAAAACCGGUCGUAGUCCGGAUCGCAGUCUGCAACUCGACUGCGUGAAGUCGGAAUCGCUAGUAAUCGCGGAUCAGCUUGCCGCGGUGAAUACGUUCCCGGGUCUUGUACACACCGCCCGUCACACCAUGGGAGCGGGUUCUGCCAGAAGUAGUUAGCCUAACCGCAAGGGGGGCGAUUACCACGGCAGGGUUCGUGACUGGGGUGAAGUCGUAACAAGGUA
RNAcentral lists this ribosomal RNA (1487 nucleotides) under metagenome. RNAcentral describes it as "bacterial SSU rRNA". It matches the Rfam family "Bacterial small subunit ribosomal RNA". The record is from RNAcentral.